CCCAGCUAGAAGAGACAAGCUUUAUAAUAGAAAUGGCACUGCAAAUAGGUACACAUGACUUUACUGUGUGUUGGUCUCAGUCUAAGAUCCCUAGAGGUUAGCUCGCAAUAUCCUCCUAGCCUCAGCUUCCCCAGUGCUAGAGAACAAUUAUGUCUAAGCAAGAGAGUUACAUAAGGAUAAAAUGACAUCAUUUGGUGCCAAGCCAGGGGGCUGAACACCUGAUGGAGAGGGAUCUCCACUGACUGCAGCCAAACAAAUGCUUGAGAAUUAAUAUCCAUCACUGCCUGAUAAUCCUUGGCUGGAAGAAGAGCAGUUUUGAGGUACUACAGUCAUUUAAAUUCCUCAGUUAUUAAUUUUAUACAGAGUUAUUUUGCUGUGGGUUUUUUUUUUGGUAAUUAGAUGCUGUAAAUUUUUUGUGAUUUUUCUCUUCUUUGUAAUUAGAAAUAGCGAUUAGAGUAUCUUUUAUAUUACAUGGCAUUUUUUUUCUUUAAACAAUUGUAUACAUUUUGUAUUCUUUCCUUUUCUCCACACAGACUUUAAUGAGAAUGGGUUCAUUGUGUACCAUAAUUUGCUAUUAUUAUAGUGUGUCAUGAAAAUGAGUUAUUUCCGUCACAGAAAUAUAAUGCCCAGUGUAAUGUAUUUUUUGCUACUGGGUUUUUUUUUUUCUCUCUCUCUAGGGACAGGGAAAUAUGUUUGCCAAAUCUGAAGCCCACUUGAACCUGAAAGGCUGGAUUACCCAGCCCAGGCCUCUGGAGUCUGAAAUAGCCUCCUGUUGUUCUGUGCUGCAUGGCACACACUCCAGGCAGUGGAGAGGUAAGUUCCAUGUCUCUCUGUUGGGAUGCAUAAUUUCAGUGGUGUGUUCUCAGCAAAUGGCAUCCAUUCAAACCAGGAGAAGUAAACCAGACUUUAAGUCUGCUUAAAGUCUGCUUAAGUGUGCUUUAAGAAGAGCACACUGACUCUUCUUAAAAUUUGGAGCUGGGAGCACGGGUCUGUGGUGGAGCAGUUGUGUAAGUGGGAGCUCGGCUCUGUGGUGGAACAGUUGUGUAAGUGGGAGCACAGUUCUGUGGUGGAGCAGUUGUGUAAGUGGGAGCUCGGUUCUGUGGUGGAGCACUGGUGUAAGGGGGAGCACAGCUCUGUGGUGGAGCACUUGUGUAAGUGGGAGCUCAGUUCUGUGGUGGAGCACUGGUGUAAGGGGGAACAUGGCUCUGUGGUGGAGCACUUGUGUGUGUAAGGGGGAGUACAGGUUUAUGGUGGAGCCCUUGUGUAAGUACGCACAAGGCUGUGAGUUCAGUUUCCAGCACAAAAAAAAUAGCAAAUAAAAGUGAAGAGCCUGGGCCAGGGCUGAGGGCUAGUAAGGAAAUCUGCCUUGUCCCUGCUGCUGAGGGUGCUUCACUCAUGCAGAAGACAGCAUGAGGCACAGGCUGGCUUACUCAUGGAACAUGCUUAGGGCUGCCAGCCAGGGUAGACACCCUAUCAACUCCAGCCUGCCAACUCACAUAACAGCUAAGGCAAGGAAAGGGAUAGACAGACACCCCCCAACACACAUGGCUGCCCAGUGGCUGGGUUCUUCUCUGUUCUCUCACCCACCAGUUGAGGCAUCCUCCACAAGAGGUUGUUCCUGGGGUAGAGACGAAAUAUGAGCAUGCCCAGUGCAAAGCAAGCGAGGCCACUGAGGGCUCUCUUUGCUGCAACAUCUCAUGACUCUGGUUAGGAGGAAGAGAAGCGAGCGGUAUGUGCUUCCCCAUGAUCCCUGCUGUUGAAUUUAGAUGGCUAUUGGAGAGCCUGUUAUAUCUGUCCCCACACAGAUGUCCCACUGGAUGCUCUGAGAUGCAUUCCAGUCUCCAGCAUGUUGGUGAGGGAUUUGGAUCUGCAGGGACCCGCUGGAGGGGUCAGGCCCUGGGUCUAGCCCAUGAAGCUGACCCUCUUCCCACAGCAGACAGAAGCAAGGGCCCUGGGACGCUAGCUGGGGGAGGUCCUCCUCUCCUGGGAUGCUAGCUGAGGGAAGUCCUCCUCUGGCCCUGGGAUGCUAGCUGGGGGAGGUCCUCCUCUGGCCCUGGGACGCUAGCUGAGGGAGGUCCUCCUCUGGCCCUGGGAUGCUUGCUGCGGGAGGUCCUCCUCUGGCCCUGGGAUGCUAGCUAAGGGAGGUCCUCCUCUGGCCCUGGGAUGCUUGCUGGGGGAGGUCCUCCUCUGGCCCUGGGAUGCAAAGCCUCAUGCUUUCUCUCAUCUACUAUUCUCCUAGAAGCUUUGGGAAAGGCUUCCUUGGGGGACAAUUCUUAGCAUGUCACAUAGAGAAAACAGAGAUGCUUGGUAAAUGGUGAUGCCAUGCAAUACCUGGUUUGAGCAUGUGUUCAGUGUGGGGAGCAGGUUGAGGUUGGGAAGAGAGGAGAGUGUGAAGUCAGGGGCCAUACCAUUGCCUCUGGAGCAAUCUCUUCCUCAGCCAGACCUGAUUCCAUGCAUCCUGGCCAGGAAACCAGACUCAGAGCUGAGAGUCCAGUGCCGUUUCUUACAGCCAUGACCUUGGGCAAAUUACUCAACUCCAAGAUGCUCCUGUUUCUUCAUCUGUAGUAGAUCAGCUCAUGAGGCUAUGGUGAAGAAUUAGCAUGCUCCCCUAGAGUCCACAGAUACUCCAGGACAAGCCUUGUAUUUGUCUUCAUAUAGUGUUCACGAAGGUGCCAGUUCCCAGGUCAGGGACAGAAACCCACAAAGCUCCCUUGGCUAAGCCAGGCAACUGCAACAGAGUGUCCAGAACAGGGAUAUUUUCUAACCUGUCUAUCUAGAGAAGCCCUGCUGUAGUUUGGAUGCUAAAUGUCCCCAACAGACCAUGUAUUGAAAGUUUGGAUCCAAGAUGGCCCUAUAGGAAGGUGGUGGAACAUUUGGGAAAUAAGGCUUGGUGGGAGGUCUUUAGGUUAUUGGGAGCAUGUCCUUAAAACUUUCCUUCCUCUCUUUCAC
Non-coding RNA from Myodes glareolus (Bank vole), 2949 nucleotides. NCBI's taxonomy places the organism in Eukaryota, Metazoa, Chordata, Mammalia, Rodentia, Cricetidae. The record is from RefSeq and is a predicted model, not a curated record.